This 454-nucleotide ribosomal RNA is filed under the name uncultured Paludibacter sp. RNAcentral describes it as "bacterial SSU rRNA". It matches the Rfam family "Bacterial small subunit ribosomal RNA", at positions 341 to 792 of the family's 1533-position model. Lineage: Bacteria; Pseudomonadati; Bacteroidota; Bacteroidia; Bacteroidales; Paludibacteraceae. The record is from RNAcentral.
ACGGGAGGCAGCAGUGAGGAAUAUUGGUCAAUGGACGAGAGUCUGAACCAGCCAUGCCGCGUGAAGGUUAAGGUCCUAUGGAUUGUAAACUUCUUUUGUACGGGAGCAAUAAGCCUCACGGGUUGGGGCGAUGAGAGUACCGUACGAAUAAGCAUCGGCUAACUCCGUGCCAGCAGCCGCGGUAAUACGGAGGAUGCAAGCGUUAUCCGGAUUUAUUGGGUUUAAAGGGUGCGUAGGCGGCGGGGUAAGUCAGCGGUGAAAUGUCCAUGCUCAACAUGGAACGUGCCGUUGAUACUGUCUCGCUUGAGUUCGGAUGCCGUGGGAGGAAUGUGUAGUGUAGCGGUGAAAUGCUUAGAUAUUACACAGAACACCGAUUGCGAAGGCAUCUCACGAAUCCGACACUGACGCUGAGGCACGAAAGUGUGGGGAUCAAACAGGAUUAGAUACCCUGGUA